AUACUCUGGUUUCUCUUCACAUCGUAUAAAUUUUCACCUUUUACUAAAGAUUUCUGUGGAGAGGAAUAUUUAUGAGUUUGUAACUAAUUUUUUGAGAUCCUGCUUUAAAACAAAAAA
RNAcentral lists this small nuclear RNA (117 nucleotides) under Salvator merianae (Argentine black and white tegu). Its description in RNAcentral is "U5 spliceosomal RNA (ENSSMRG00000014698.1)". It matches the Rfam family "U5 spliceosomal RNA". Rfam says of the family: U5 RNA is a component of both types of known spliceosome. The record is from Rfam by way of RNAcentral. Lineage: Eukaryota; Metazoa; Chordata; Lepidosauria; Squamata; Teiidae.